RNAcentral lists this long non-coding RNA (276 nucleotides) under Lathyrus oleraceus (garden pea). RNAcentral's name for it is "Pisum sativum (pea) long non-coding RNA (PSAT_LNC001180)". Lineage: Eukaryota; Viridiplantae; Streptophyta; Magnoliopsida; Fabales; Fabaceae. The record is from RNAcentral.
AUCACUUGUAUUUUUCUCAAUCUCCACACUUUUUUUCUUUUCAACUUCACCAUUCUUUUCGUUAUUUUCAACUUCUUCCUCCUUACUCCACUCCCCCACUUCACCAUCAACAUUUUCCUCCAAUAUUUCCUCCUCAUUUUCUUUCUUUUUCUCUCUUUGUUCACUCUCAACUCUUUUUUUAUUCUCACUCAUCAACUCCUUCCCACUUCUCGUUGUGAUCGCCUUACAAUGCUCCUUAGGAUUUGUUUGCGUGUUUGCCGAAAAGGAAGGACCGGU